RNAcentral lists this unclassified non-coding RNA (331 nucleotides) under Hevea brasiliensis (rubber tree). The record is from RNAcentral. Lineage: Eukaryota; Viridiplantae; Streptophyta; Magnoliopsida; Malpighiales; Euphorbiaceae.
CGUGCCUUGAUUUUCCCUUUUCCUCUUCAAACCCACGACAAUCUUUUGGCCAUUAUGCAGAACCUUAGUUAACUCUGUUUCCAUAUUCAUCUACAAGAACAAUCCUUAUCUACAAACUAUAUCCUAAAGAUCAACUAUUAUAUUUACAAAUCUCUUCUUCACUAUCCAGGGGUUAGAUAAGCCAUGCAAUUGAGAAAAUUCAUAGACCCGUUGUCUACAGUCAGCGGUCAUUCUGUACAAGCCGCUCCUUUUCCCCAUUUUCUGCAGCUACCAAAUCAAUCCAAUUACACCCAAGCAGCUAACGAACCAUUGAAAUCAUGAAAUCUGAGAG